This 685-nucleotide ribosomal RNA is filed under the name Pseudomonas aeruginosa. RNAcentral's name for it is "partial 23S ribosomal RNA". It matches the Rfam family "Bacterial large subunit ribosomal RNA", at positions 1025 to 1711 of the family's 2925-position model. The record is from RNAcentral. Lineage: Bacteria; Pseudomonadati; Pseudomonadota; Gammaproteobacteria; Pseudomonadales; Pseudomonadaceae.
ACCCAGACCGCCAGCUAAGGUCCCAAAGUUGUGGUUAAGUGGUAAACGAUGUGGGAAGGCUUAGACAGCUAGGAGGUUGGCUUAGAAGCAGCCAUCCUUUAAAGAAAGCGUAAUAGCUCACUAGUCGAGUCGGCCUGCGCGGAAGAUGUAACGGGGCUCAAACCACACACCGAAGCUGCGGGUGUCACGUAAGUGACGCGGUAGAGGAGCGUUCUGUAAGCCUGUGAAGGUGAGUUGAGAAGCUUGCUGGAGGUAUCAGAAGUGCGAAUGCUGACAUGAGUAACGACAAUGGGUGUGAAAAACACCCACGCCGAAAGACCAAGGGUUCCUGCGCAACGUUAAUCGACGCAGGGUUAGUCGGUUCCUAAGGCGAGGCUGAAAAGCGUAGUCGAUGGGAAACAGGUUAAUAUUCCUGUACUUCUGGUUACUGCGAUGGAGGGACGGAGAAGGCUAGGCCAGCUUGGCGUUGGUUGUCCAAGUUUAAGGUGGUAGGCUGAAAUCUUAGGUAAAUCCGGGGUUUCAAGGCCGAGAGCUGAUGACGAGUCGUCUUUUAGAUGACGAAGUGGUUGAUGCCAUGCUUCCAAGAAAAGCUUCUAAGCUUCAGGUAAUCAGGAACCGUACCCCAAACCGACACAGGUGGUCGGGUAGAGAAUACCAAGGCGCUUGAGAGAACUCGGGUGAAGGA